CAAGCGUUAAUCGGAAUUACUGGGCGUAAAGCGCACGCAGGCGGUUUGUUAAGUCAGAUGUGAAAUCCCCGGGCUCAACCUGGGAACUGCAUUUGAAACUGGCAAGCUAGAGUCUCGUAGAGGGGGGUAGAAUUCCAGGUGUAGCGGUGAAAUGCGUAGAGAUCUGGAGGAAUACCGGUGGCGAAGGCGGCCCCCUGGACGAAGACUGACGCUCAGGUGCGAAGGCGUGGGGAGCAAACAGGAUUAGAUACCCUGGUAGUCCACGCUGUAAACGAUGUCGAUUUGGAGGUUGUGCCCUUGAGGCGUGGCUUCCGGAGCUAACGCGUUAAAUCGACCGCCUGGGGAGUACGGCCGCAAGGUUAAAACUCAAAUGAAUUGACGGGGGCCCGCACAAGCGGUGGAGCAUGUGGUUUAAUUCGAUGCAACGCGAAAAACCUUACCUACUCUUGACAUCCAGA
This 458-nucleotide ribosomal RNA is filed under the name uncultured bacterium. RNAcentral describes it as "bacterial SSU rRNA". It matches the Rfam family "Bacterial small subunit ribosomal RNA", at positions 535 to 992 of the family's 1533-position model. The record is from RNAcentral.